RNAcentral lists this ribosomal RNA (568 nucleotides) under Percolomonas cosmopolitus. RNAcentral describes it as "partial Bacterial large subunit ribosomal RNA". It matches the Rfam family "Bacterial large subunit ribosomal RNA", at positions 1283 to 1839 of the family's 2925-position model. The record is from RNAcentral. Lineage: Eukaryota; Heterolobosea; Eutetramitea; Percolomonadida; Percolomonadidae.
CAGAAGUGCGAAUGCUGACAUGAGUAACGAUAAUGGGAGUGAAAAACUCCCACGCCGGAAGACCAAGGUUUCCUGUCCCAUGCUAAUCAGGGCAGGGUAAGUCGGCCCCUAAGGCGAGGCAGAAAUGCGUAGUCGAUGGGAAACGGGUUAAUAUUCCCGUACUUAUAUAAUCAGUGAUGGAGGGACGGAGAAGGCUAGGCAAGCUUGGCGUUGGUUGUCCAAGUGAAAGUGAGUAGGCUGAAGACUUAGGUAAAUCCGGGUUUUCAAGGCCGAGACACGAGACGAGCCACUACGGUGGUGAAGUUGUUGAUGCCCUGCUUCCAGGAAAAGCUUCUAAACUUAUGAUUAUAUGAACCGUACCCCAAACCGACACAGGUGGAUAGGAUGAGAAUUCCAAGGCGCUUGAGAGAACUCUGGUGAAGGAACUAGGCAAAAUAGCACCGUAACUUCGGGAGAAGGUGUGCCCCCGUUAGGUGAAGCGACUUGCUCGUGGAGCUGAAGGGGGUUGCAGUGACCAGGUGGCUGCGACUGUUUAUCAAAAACAUAGCACUCUGCAAACACGAAAGUG